RNAcentral lists this ribosomal RNA (468 nucleotides) under uncultured bacterium. RNAcentral describes it as "partial 16S ribosomal RNA". It matches the Rfam family "Bacterial small subunit ribosomal RNA", at positions 28 to 507 of the family's 1533-position model. The record is from RNAcentral.
GACGAACGCUGGCGGCGUGCUUAACACAUGCAAGUCGAACGGAAAGGCCCUGCUUUUGUGGGGUGCUCGAGUGGCGAACGGGUGAGUAACACGUGAGUAACCUGCCCUUGACUUUGGGAUAACUUCAGGAAACUGGGGCUAAUACCGGAUAGGAGCUCCUGCUGCAUGGUGGGGGUUGGAAAGUUUCGGCGGUUGGGGAUGGACUCGCGGCUUAUCAGCUUGUUGGUGGGGUAGUGGCUUACCAAGGCUUUGACGGGUAGCCGGCCUGAGAGGGUGACCGGCGACAAGGGGACUGAGAUACGGCGCAGAAGCGUACGGGAGGCAGCAGGGGGGAGUAUUGCACAAUGGGCGGAAGCGUGAGGCGGCGACGCCGCGUGCGGGAUGACGGCCUUCGGGUUGUAAACCGCUGUCGCCUGUGACGAAGCGUGAGUGACGGUAAUGGGUAAAGAAGCACCGGCUAACUACGUG